Molecule: microRNA precursor, 208 nt
Organism: Oryza sativa Japonica Group (Japanese rice)
Lineage: Eukaryota; Viridiplantae; Streptophyta; Magnoliopsida; Poales; Poaceae
Rfam family: MIR812 microRNA precursor family
Source: Rfam
AAUAAGUGCAGUUUUACACUAUUCACGUUUAACAUUUGACCGUUCAUCUUAUUUGAAAAUUUUUUAUGAUUAAUAUUUUUAUUGCUAUUAAAUGAUAAAACAUGAAUAGUACUUUAUACGUGACUAAAUAUUUUCAAAUUUUUCAUAAAUGUUUUAAAUAAGACGGAUGGUCAAAUGUUGGACACAGAUAUCUACGGCUACACUUGGU